CUACGGGUCGCUGCAGUGGGGAAUAUUGCACAAUGGGCGCAAGCCUGAUGCAGCCAUGCCGCGUGUAUGAAGAAGGCCUUCGGGUUGUAAAGUACUUUCAGCGGGGAGGAAGGGAGUAAAGUUAAUACCUUUGCUCAUUGACGUUACCCGCAGAAGAAGCACCGGCUAACUCCGUGCCAGCAGCCGCGGUAAUACGGAGGGUGCAAGCGUUAAUCGGAAUUACUGGGCGUAAAGCGCACGCAGGCGGUUUGUUAAGUCAGAUGUGAAAUCCCCGGGCUCAACCCGGGAACUGCAUCUGAUACUGGCAAGCGUGAGUCUCGUAGAGGGGGGUAGAAUUCCAGGUGUAGCGGUGAAAUGCGUAGAGAUCUGGAGGAAUACCGGUGGCGAAGGCGGCCCCCUGGACGAAGACUGACGCUCAGGUGCGAAAGCGUGGGGAACAAACAGGAUUAGAUACCCCGGUAGUC
This 464-nucleotide ribosomal RNA is filed under the name uncultured bacterium. RNAcentral describes it as "partial 16S ribosomal RNA". It matches the Rfam family "Bacterial small subunit ribosomal RNA", at positions 339 to 795 of the family's 1533-position model. The record is from RNAcentral.